AGAGUUUGAUCAUGGCUCAGAUUGAACGCUGGCGGCAGGCCUAACACAUGCAAGUCGAGCGGUAACACAGGGAGCUUGCUCCUGGGUGACGAGCGGCGGACGGGUGAGUAAUGUCUGGGAAACUGCCUGAUGGAGGGGGAUAACUACUGGAAACGGUAGCUAAUACCGCAUAAUGUCGCAAGACCAAAGAGGGGGACCUUCGGGCCUCUUGCCAUCAGAUGUGCCCAGAUGGGAUUAGCUAGUAGGUGAGGUAACGGCUCACCUAGGCGACGAUGCAUAGCCGACCUGAGAGGGUGAUCGGCCACACUGGAACUGAGACACGGUCCAGACUCCUACGGGAGUCAGCAGUGGGGAAUAUUGCACAAUGGGCGCAAGCCUGAUGCAGCCAUGCCGCGUGUAUGAAGAAGGCCUUCGGGUUGUAAAGUACUUUCAGCGAGGAGGAAGGCAUUAAGGUUAAUAACCUUGGUGAUUGACGUUACUCGCAGAAGAAGCACCGGCUAACUCCGUGCCAGCAGCCGCGGUAAUUC
Molecule: ribosomal RNA, 527 nt
Filed under: uncultured bacterium
Lineage: Bacteria
Description: bacterial SSU rRNA
Rfam family: Bacterial small subunit ribosomal RNA
Source: RNAcentral